Scomber scombrus (Atlantic mackerel) is the source of this 174-nucleotide long non-coding RNA. RefSeq lists it as uncharacterized. The record is from RefSeq and is a predicted model, not a curated record. The transcript is spliced from 2 exons. NCBI's taxonomy places the organism in Eukaryota, Metazoa, Chordata, Actinopteri, Scombriformes, Scombridae.
UUGAAAGGUUUAUGAUUAACAGGGAUCAGGAUCAGACAUUCAGUCUGAAUUAGCAUAGCCCUGAGCUUUCAUCUAUGAUCAACUGGUAACAAAUGGGAAAGGAAGAGAUGACCCAGAGCUCUGUAUGCUUCAUUCAUUUACUGCUAAAUAAAAUAGCGUGUUGAGACCGAAUAA